GGAGGUAUUGCACAGCUGGUUAGUGCGCAUGCUUCACAUGCAUGAGGUCAUAGGUUCGAGCCCUAUUACCUCCACCA
Molecule: transfer RNA, 77 nt
Filed under: Clostridiales bacterium
Lineage: Bacteria; Bacillati; Bacillota; Clostridia; Eubacteriales
Also listed under: 1 other name
Description: tRNA-Val
Rfam family: tRNA
About the family: Transfer RNA (tRNA) molecules are approximately 80 nucleotides in length. Their secondary structure includes four short double-helical elements and three loops (D, anti-codon, and T loops).
Source: RNAcentral